This 446-nucleotide ribosomal RNA is filed under the name uncultured soil bacterium. RNAcentral describes it as "bacterial SSU rRNA". It matches the Rfam family "Bacterial small subunit ribosomal RNA", at positions 26 to 518 of the family's 1533-position model. The record is from RNAcentral.
AGAGCGAACGCUGGCGGCAGGCUUAAUACAUGCAAGUCGAGCGCCUGUAGCAAUACAGGAGCGGCAGACGGGAGAGUAACACGUGGGAACGUGCCCUUUGGUUCGGAACAACACAGGGAAACUUGUGCUAAUACCGGAUAAGCCCUUACGGGGAAAGAUUUAUUGCCAAAGGAUCGGCCCGCGUCUGAUUAGCUAGUUGGUGGGGUAAUGGCCCACCAAGGCGACGAUCAGUAGCUGGUCUGAGAGGAUGAUCAGCCAGACUGGGACUGCGAACGGCCCAGACUCCUACGGGAGGCAGCAGUUAGGAAUUUGGGCAAUGGGCGAAAGCCUGACCCAGCAACGCCGCGUGGGUGAUGAAGGCCCUCGGGUCGUAAAGCCCUUUUCCCAGGGAAGAUAAUGACGGUACCUGGGAAUCGAGCCCCGGCUAACUACGUGCCAGCAGCCGC